RNAcentral lists this unclassified non-coding RNA (1627 nucleotides) under Orussus abietinus. RNAcentral's name for it is "acetylcholine receptor subunit beta-like 2, transcript variant X5". Lineage: Eukaryota; Metazoa; Arthropoda; Insecta; Hymenoptera; Orussidae. The record is from RNAcentral.
UCGGGGGAUGCCUGGACCGGGUGGGAGCGUGCGCCGUGUGCGUCAUCGAUCCGCCUGCUGGUAGCAGGGUGCAAACCAGUGCACACCGUCCGAUCUAGACAAGUACUCGUUGUUCCAUCUAAAAUUGCUCUCGGAGUCUCCCAGAGUCGCCGAGUACGAUGCUCGAGUUAAACGCGCCCGUUGCGUACGUUCUCUUCGUUCUUCUUGGCGUAAACUGCGUUUCAGGAACUGCGGUCAUGAAAAAUUACGAGGCAAAUCCUGACUCGAAAAGAUUGUACGACGAUUUGUUAUCAAAUUACAAUCGACUGAUCCGGCCAGUCAUUAACAACACCGAAACGCUCACGGUCCGGUUAGGGCUAAAAUUAUCACAGUUAAUCGAGAUGAACUUGAAGAAUCAAGUGAUGACGACCAAUGUUUGGGUGGAGCAGAAAUGGUUCGAUUACAAAUUAAGAUGGGAUCCCGAAGAAUACGGUGGAAUUGAAAUGCUCUACGUACCAUCCGAAAACCUGUGGUUACCGGAUAUCGUGCUGUACAACAAUGCCGAUGGUAAUUACGAGGUAACCCUGAUGACAAAAGCCACGCUUAAAUACACGGGAGAAGUUUCUUGGAAACCUCCAGCUAUUUACAAAUCUUCCUGUGAAAUUAAUGUCGAGUAUUUUCCUUUCGAUGAACAAUCGUGCAUCAUGAAAUUCGGCUCGUGGACGUAUAACGGUGCCCAGGUGGACUUGAAGCAUAUGGACCAAGUGUCUGGGAGCAAUUUAGUGCCGAUUGGAAUCGAUUUAAGCGAAUUCUAUCUCUCGGUAGAAUGGGACAUUCUUGAGGUCCCUGCAGCGAGGAACGAGGAAUAUUAUCCAGGGUGUGACGAACCAUAUUCGGACAUCACUUUCAACAUAACAAUGAGAAGGAAGACAUUGUUCUAUACCAUCAAUUUGAUAAUUCCGUGUGUUGGCAUAACUUUCCUGACAGUUCUGGUAUUUUACUUGCCCAGCGAUUCGGGUGAAAAAGUUUCACUGUGCUCGUCGAUUCUACUGUCUUUGACCGUGUUCUUCUUGCUCUUGGCGGAAAUCAUCCCUCCGACUUCUUUGGCUAUACCACUGCUUGGAAAGUACCUGUUGUUCACAAUGAUUUUGGUGACCUUGUCGAUAUGGAUUACCGUUGUGGUUCUUAACUUCCAUUUUCGCUCUCCGUCGACCCAUAACAUGCCUGGAUGGGUUCGACAAGUGUUUCUCAACUGGAUGCCACGAGUUCUCAUGAUGCGACGUACCGCUUAUGCCGCUCCGGAGAAUGAAACUACCUAUCCAGACAGCGGAUACAGCAAUGAAGUCGAGUUGAGCCUUCCAGGAAGUGUAAGCGAUUACCCAAUUGAAUUGAAGGGAAGCCCAGAUGGUUUCGAAAGUAUUACAGCGGCGUACAAAAGCAUUCGGGAGGAUGAAAAUCAGCAUAUACGACACGUCUCAGUUUAAAAAGUACCCAGCCAGUUAAUAUUGCAGUUACAGACAGCGAAAAUACGAUACCUAGACAUUUGCCACCCGAUGUCUUGUCUGCACUCAAGGGAGUGCGUUUUAUUGCUCAGCACAUAAAGGAUGCCGAUAAGGACAACGAGGUUAUAGAAGACUGGAAGUUUGUG